AUUGAACGCUGGCGGCAUGCUUUACACAUGCAAGUCGAACGGCAGCGCGGGCUUCGGCCUGGCGGCGAGUGGCGAACGGGUGAGUAAUGCAUCGGAACGUGCCCAGUAGUGGGGGAUAGCCCGGCGAAAGCCGGAUUAAUACCGCAUACGACCUGAGGGUGAAAGCGGGGGACCGAAAGGCCUCGCGCUAUUGGAGCGGCCGAUGUCGGAUUAGCUAGUUGGUGGGGUAAAGGCUUACCAAGGCGACGAUCCGUAGCUGGUCUGAGAGGACGACCAGCCACACUGGGACUGAGACACGGCCCAGACUCCUACGGGAGGCAGCAGUGGGGAAUUUUGGACAAUGGGGGCAACCCUGAUCCAGCCAUGCCGCGUGCGGGAAGAAGGCCUUCGGGUUGUAGACCGCUUUUGUUCGGGAAGAAAUCCUCUGGGCUAAUACCCCGGGGGGAUGACGGUACCGGAAGAAUAAGCACCGGCUAACUACGUG
RNAcentral lists this ribosomal RNA (484 nucleotides) under uncultured bacterium. Its description in RNAcentral is "partial 16S ribosomal RNA". It matches the Rfam family "Bacterial small subunit ribosomal RNA", at positions 28 to 507 of the family's 1533-position model. The record is from RNAcentral.